UUCUGGCUCAGGAUGAACGCUAGCUACAGGCUUAACACAUGCAAGUCGAGGGGCAGCAUAAAGUCAGCUUGCUGAUUUGAUGGCGACCGGCGCACGGGUGAGUAACGCGUAUCCAACCUUCCCUAUAGUAGGGGAUAGCCCGGCGAAAGUCGGAUUAAUACCCUAUGUUCUUCAUAGAUGACAUCUGAAAUGAAGCAAAGGUUUACCGCUAUAGGAUGGGGGAUGCGUCUGAUUAGCUUGUUGGCGGGGUAACGGCCCACCAAGGCUACGAUCAGUAGGGGUUCUGAGAGGAAGGUCCCCCACAUUGGUACUGAGACACGGACCAAACUCCUACGGGAGGCAGCAGUGAGGAAUAUUGGUCAAUGGGCGAGAGCCUGGACCAGCCAAGUAGCGUGCAGGAUGACUGCCCUAUGGGUUGUAAACUGCUUUUAUAGGGGAAUAAAGUGAGGAACGUGUUCCUUUUUGUAUGUACCCUAUGAAUAAGGACCGGCUAAUUCCGUGCCAGCAGCGGC
This 512-nucleotide ribosomal RNA is filed under the name uncultured bacterium. Its description in RNAcentral is "bacterial SSU rRNA". It matches the Rfam family "Bacterial small subunit ribosomal RNA", at positions 17 to 518 of the family's 1533-position model. The record is from RNAcentral.